This 520-nucleotide ribosomal RNA is filed under the name uncultured bacterium. Its description in RNAcentral is "bacterial SSU rRNA". It matches the Rfam family "Bacterial small subunit ribosomal RNA", at positions 331 to 842 of the family's 1533-position model. The record is from RNAcentral.
CCAAACUCCUACGGGAGGCAGCAGUAGGGAAUCUUCCACAAUGGGCGAAAGCCUGAUGGAGCAACGCCGCGUGGGUGAAGAAGGUCUUCGGAUCGUAAAACCCCGUUGUUAGAGAAGAAAGUGCGUGAGAGUAACUGUUCACGUUUCGACGGUAUCUAACCAGAAAGCCACGGCUAACUACGUGCCAGCAGCCGCGGUAAUACGUAGGUGGCAAGCGUUAUCCGGAUUUAUUGGGCGUAAAGGGAACGCAGGCGGUCUUUUAAGUCUGAUGUGAAAGCCUUCGGCUUAACCGGAGUAGUGCAUUGGAAACUGGGAGACUUGAGUGCAGAAGAGGAGAGUGGAACUCCAUGUGUAGCGGUGAAAUGCGUAGAUAUAUGGAAGAACACCAGUGGCGAAAGCGGCUCUCUGGUCUGUAACUGACGCUGAGGUUCGAAAGCGUGGGUAGCAAACAGGAUUAGAUACCCUGGUAGUCCACGCCGUAAACGAUGAAUGCUAAGUGUUGGAGGGUUUCCGCCCUUCA